RNAcentral lists this ribosomal RNA (407 nucleotides) under uncultured bacterium. Its description in RNAcentral is "partial 16S ribosomal RNA". It matches the Rfam family "Bacterial small subunit ribosomal RNA", at positions 30 to 526 of the family's 1533-position model. The record is from RNAcentral.
AUUGAACGCUGGCGGCAGGCCUAACACAUGCAAGUCGAGCGGAGCGGCGGACGGGGGAGUAAUGCCUAGGAAUCUGCCUGGUAGUGGGGGAUAACGUCCUGAAACGGGCGCUAAUACUGCAUACUAUCAGAUGAGCCUAGGACGGUUUAGCUAGUUGGUGGGGUAAAGGCUGAACAAGGCGACGAUCCGUAACUGGUCUGAGAGGAUGAUCAGUCACACUGGAACUGAGACACGGUCCAGCAUCCUACGGGAGGCAGCAGUGGGGAAUAUUGGACAAUGGGCGAAAGCCUGAUCCAGCCAUGCCGCGUGUGUGAAGAAGGUCUUCGGAUUGUAAAGCACUUUAAGUUGGGAGGCGUUACCAACAGAAGAAGCACCGGCUAACUCCGUGCCAGCAGCCGCGGUAAUUC